This is a long non-coding RNA of Priapulus caudatus, 393 nucleotides long. RefSeq lists it as uncharacterized. The record is from RefSeq and is a predicted model, not a curated record. The transcript is spliced from 4 exons. NCBI's taxonomy places the organism in Eukaryota, Metazoa, Priapulida, Priapulimorpha, Priapulimorphida, Priapulidae.
UCACUUACUCACUUAGGCUGUGGCUACGGGUACGGCAGCCGUAUCUUAAUGUCUCGAGGCUGGAGGUACGGCAGUCCAUUCGCUUUCAUACUUAACGAGACAAAGAUAGAGCUGACAGUAGAGGUUCUCCGAGGAGACCUAGACUAGUCCGAAGAGAAUCUGUGAAUCUGUGAAAAGAUGGCGGCAGCUGUCCCUAAGCGGGGUCUGUUACUCUCCACACAGACUUUGGUGAUAUAAAGGUGGAGUUGUUCUGCGAUCAGUGUCCAAAAGCCUGUGAGAAUUUUCUAGCAUUGUGUGCGAGUGAUUACUACAAUAAUACGAUCAUUCACAGAAAUAUAAAAGGAUUUAUGGUUCAAAUGGGUGAUCCAACAGGUACAGGAAAAGGAGGAACAA